ACACUGCUCGCAAAACGGAUGGAAGCUUGGGGUGCAUCGCUUAGGCCUAAUUGAACAGAGGAAUUAUGGUAUUCUUCAGUAGCUUGAGUAACUAUAACCGUUGUGCAUGUGAAAGCU
Long non-coding RNA from Etheostoma cragini (Arkansas darter), 117 nucleotides. RefSeq lists it as uncharacterized. The transcript is spliced from 3 exons. Lineage: Eukaryota; Metazoa; Chordata; Actinopteri; Perciformes; Percidae. The record is from RefSeq and is a predicted model, not a curated record.